UUGUGCUAGGUGGGGAGUUAGCGGUGCCCUCUACCCGAAAUCCGCUUCAUGCGGGACCGAAUCCCCUUCCGAGGAUUAUGCUGAAAGCACUAACAUCGGACGACCGGACGCUGCGCAACAGACGGUCGCGAACCUCGUCAGGUCCGGAAGGAAGCAGCGAUAAGUGAUGCAGUUUGUGUCGCGGUUCGUUCCCGGUCAUACGCCGAUGAAAGUGUUGAUGCCAAUUCGAAGAAGGGUGCACAA
This 243-nucleotide signal recognition particle RNA is filed under the name Desulfatitalea sp. RNAcentral's name for it is "signal recognition particle sRNA large type". It matches the Rfam family "Bacterial large signal recognition particle RNA". Rfam says of the family: The signal recognition particle (SRP) is a universally conserved ribonucleoprotein involved in the co-translational targeting of proteins to membranes. Archaeal SRP consists of a 7S RNA and homologues of the eukaryotic SRP19 and SRP54 proteins. The record is from RNAcentral. Lineage: Bacteria; Pseudomonadati; Thermodesulfobacteriota; Desulfobacteria; Desulfobacterales; Desulfosarcinaceae.